GUGUAGCGAAAUGCUUGUGCUUCUAGUUCCGACCAUGCAGUAGUAUAACAAAAUACUGCAUAGUUUCCUAGGAACGCGAAGCAAGGCGGCCAUCUCUGUCGGCGCCGGAAGUCAGAAGGAUUUGUUAGACCGCUGCACCACUCAUGGCUUAAGGUAAUGAUGGACUGUCGUUUCUCUUUGCUUAUUUGAGCUGUUCUUGCCAUAAUAUGGACUUGGUCUUUUACCAAAUAGGGAUAUCUUCUGUAUUCCACCCUUACAUUGUCACAACAACUUAUUGGCUCAAGUGAGUUAGGAAGGAAAAAAAAUCCACAAAUGAACUUUUAAUCAGGCCCACCUGUUAUUUGAAAUGCACUCCAGGUGACUACCCCAUGAAGCUGGUUGAGAUAAUGCCAAGUGUGCAAAGCUGUCAAGGCAAUGACUGGCUACUGUGAAGAACAUAAAAUAAAUAUAUUUGUUUUAAUACUUUUUUUGGUUACUACAUGAUUCCAUGAGUGUUAUAUCAGUUUUGAUGUCUUCAUUAUUCUACAAUGUAGAAAAUAGUACAAAUAAAGAAACCCUUGAAUGAGUAGGCGUGCCCAAACUUUUGAAUGGUAUUGUCUAUGUAUAUUUGUGUGUAUGUGAUCUGGUGGUGAGAGGAGCUAUAGGACGGGCUCAUUGCUACUGGAAUGGAAUGUGGUUUAUCGUGGUUUCCGUAUGUUUGAUACUGUUCCAUUCCAGCCAAUACAAUGACCCUGUCCUCCUAUAGCUCCUCCCACCAGUCUCCACUGAUGUAAUCCUUGAGUUUAUUUGAUCUGGGUCAAUCAUCAGAUAAAAUCACUAAAUCUAACCCAGUCUUCCAUCCAAGUCUGGGAGGGAAUAUUAUUCAACUUGAUUGAUGUUGCAGUCUCUAAUGUUUUUGGCUGCAUAUUGUGUAUCUUUUUUAAUUUAGUGCUGACAUCCCUCUUCACACUAACGAUGAGAUUGUGUUUUUCUCCAGGCUUUGCAAUAGGAGUGCCCUGGGCGGUCUCAUGUUUUCAUAGUAAAUUGACUACAAAGAUGGCACUGGAUUCCUUGUGAAACUACAGUACAAAUGUAUAGGAGCAUUUCCUAUCCCUUUGUCCAAUGACAAGUGUUUGUGGAAAACACUACAAAAAUUUGCAGUACAUCCGACUAGCCUCUGCAGACCAUGUGUAACCACGCCAGCCCAGGACCUCCACGUCCGGCUUCUUCACCUGCA
This is a long non-coding RNA of Oncorhynchus tshawytscha (Chinook salmon), 1216 nucleotides long. The record is from Ensembl. NCBI's taxonomy places the organism in Eukaryota, Metazoa, Chordata, Actinopteri, Salmoniformes, Salmonidae.